AUGGUGGAGAAGGGCAAAGAGGACCUCGGAGGCCUGACUGCAGGGCUUAUGGAGCUGUCCUUGCUCGCCGCCUUUUCUCCGUCGUUCAGACCCUCACUGCCCCGCCAGUGUAGGUUUCUGUCCCCUCAGUCCUUUUGCAGGAGUAGGUGGAAUCCAUGGACCAGAAACUCAGACCGCCGGUUCCUCGCCACCUGGCGCCCACGCAGGGUCGCUUCUCCCGGAAGGCGCGCUUGUUCCUGCGGCGCUGCCUGCCUGUGUCGUCGUCCCUUCUUCAAACCUCAGGAUUUCUCCGGUUUCCCAGACCGUAAGGUACAUUUAAACUGCUUUCAUUUUGUCACAUAUGCCCUUUGAUAUUAUGGACGUAACAGUUAUUACUUUUACGUUUCCUAUUUGUGAAUUAUUCAUAGAUAAAGAAUUUACGGAAGCAUUUAUUUUUAGUUGACAUAUUGCGUAUAUUUAUGGAUAACAGGGUGAUAUUUUGAUUCUUGUAUUCAUUGGGGAAGAUGCAGUCAAGCUAAUUCACAGGUGCAUCAAAUCACCAGCUAACUAAUACUUCAUGGCGAGACCACGAAACACCUGUUAUUUCGCUUUUCUAAAAUGUACGGCAUGACUUCGGAGCAAACGGUACUGCCCGGCCUCAGCAGCCCGAGACUGAGCGUUUCUGAAGCGCGGGGUCCCCGUUUCUGAGAGGGUCGUGGCUGCAUGCAG
RNAcentral lists this long non-coding RNA (708 nucleotides) under Macaca nemestrina (pig-tailed macaque). Its description in RNAcentral is "lncRNA (ENSMNEG00000045997.1)". The record is from RNAcentral. Lineage: Eukaryota; Metazoa; Chordata; Mammalia; Primates; Cercopithecidae.